Molecule: long non-coding RNA, 2268 nt
Filed under: Homo sapiens (human)
Lineage: Eukaryota; Metazoa; Chordata; Mammalia; Primates; Hominidae
Description: HSALNT0352760
Source: RNAcentral
UACAGUUCUGGAGGAUAGGAAGUUCAAGAUCAAUGUGCCAGAUGAUUGGUGUCUGGUGAGGGACCCUUCCUCAUAGACAGCACCUUCACGUUGUGUCCUCACAUGGUGGAAGGAGCUAGCUAGCUCUCUGGGGCCUUUUUUUUAUAAGAACAGUAAUCCCAUUCAUGAGGGCUUUGUCCUUAUAACUUAAUUACCUCCCAGAGGCUUCAGUUUCUAAUACCACCACCUUAGGGGUUAAGAUUUCAACAUAUAAGUUUGGCGGGGUGGAGAGAAAUAAACAUUCAGACCACAGCAGAAGGUUGCCCUAAAUUCUGGAGUCGGGGAGGGGGGAAGUAUCGCAAGAAAACAGGAACACUGAAAGACAUGGGCUCCUUCUCAGAUCUUAGAGAACAAAAGAAAGAACUAAAUGGAGAUGUGGGAAUCACAAGGCCAUAGUUUAGGGUCUCGCAGUGCCAUUGGCAACAAAGCCUGAGAGCCUAGGCGAUAGAGGCAGAACACCCAGAGGAGAAGCCCCUUCCCCUUGCACCGUGAGCCUGGUGUUUGCAGCUUGGUAGCAGUGGCAACAGAACAAUCAGCUCUCCUACAAUAAACCAGGGACGGAACAAACAACAGCAGCAGCGGUCGCAGGGAAACAGAAUCUGUGUUGGCGUGCAGGGAGCAGGCAGCGUCUGCAAAGUAGCGCUGGCAACCACAACAGAGAGGCCAGCAACAGGAGGAGCAGGAGGAGCCCUGGAACAAGUACAGUUGACUCUGAACAAGUCAGGUUUGAACUGCAUGGGUCCACUCAUAUGAAGAUUUCUUUCAACGAAAGCUACCCCGAGUGUGCCUGCCUUUCCUGCCUCCCCUUCCACCUCCUGCACCUCUACCAUCCCUGCCACCCCUAAGACAGCAAGGCCAGUCUCUUCUCUCUCCCCCUCCUCCUUCAGCCUAUUCAACUUGAAGAUGACAAGGAUGAAGAGCUUUAUGAUGAUCUACUUCCCCUUAAUGAACAGCUGGAGUGCAAUGGUGUGAUCUUGUCUCACUGCAACUUCUGCCUCCCAGGUUCAAGUGAUUCUCCUGCCUCAGCCUCCCAAGUAACUGUGAUUUCAGGUGCCCGCCACUACACCCGGCUAAUUUUUGUAUUUUUAGUAGAGGCGGGGUUUUGCCAUGUUGGCCAGGCUGGUCUCAAAACUCCUGACCUCAGGAGUUCGGCCUCCGAAAGUGCUGGGAUUACAGGCAUGAGCCACUGUGCCCGGCCUAGAAAACUGGUGUUUCCAACAAGUCCUUUGGUGCUGCUGGUGCUACUGCGGGCCUUCUGAGGAGACUUUGAGAACCGCUGCAUCAGGAUUAUCAGCCUGGUAACUCCUGGCCGAAGAAAUGCACACCCUUCAUUUGGCUAAAAGAAAGAAUUUCCAAUAUUCAUAAAGAAAACACAACUUGUGGGUUCUCCAAGCAGGAGAGGAAAAAUCAUGUUCCAGUCUAUUCCUGUAACUAAUGAAGGGCUCAGGUUUCAAAGGUAAGUUAAUUGUCAGACCCACUUUAUUGUACCCAGUGUCCUUGGGAAACAUAAUUAUUUAUUGGAAAUAUGUCACAACUAACAUAAGUCUUAAAAAUUUGUUAAAUUAGAAACAAAAUAUUGUAUUUGCUGAUAUGUUAAAACAUAAGGGCCUAACAUUUAGAAUUGCACUUCUCAUACUCACAACAUGUACUCAAAAUGCUGUUAACAUCUACUUUGAUGAUUGUUUUGGGUUUACUUGAAUCUAAUGUUUCCAUUUAAUAAUUCCUUUUUUUUCCCCUUUCCUUUUUUCAAUCAAUCCUUUCUCUUUUCUAUGUUCUAUAUUCAUGUUAUCUUAGAAUUCCAUUUUGGCCUUCUAGGUUCUUUACUUCUUCCUCCAGCCUGUCAUUUUCAUGUCUUCAGUGAUUUCUCAGACUUCUCACAGAAAGUUAACCAUUUUUGUGCAUCUUGAAACUUUUAACCUUUGAUUUGAAGAUAAAUGCUAAUAAAUAAAUAUAAUUCUUAUGAAUACAUUAUGCACAAUGUUAAAUUCAAAAUGACUGACAUGUUUCAUGCUGUGUGCUAUAGAUAUGCUAAACUUCAUUUCAAACAGACUAAAUAAAACACAUGGAACUACAUGCACUUUUUGUGAACAGCAUCUUCAUACCUGUUGUUUGUUAAUGUCAGCAAUUAUAAGCUUAUAGGUGUGUUUUUCAAGUGAUCACUGAAAAUAAAUGUAGUAUGUCUAUUGGCAGAACCACUCACACCUACUAAUUAUUUGAAAAACAUGCUCA